AUCAAGGCAGAGGUGGUGGCCGGGGGCGAAGCACUUGGGCCGCCGAGGGAUGCAGCGCGAUCGUGAGGCUGACAGCGCUUGCUAGGAGACGGGGAGGUCAAGGGUGACUCCUAGGGCUCUGCGCUGAGCACCUGGCAGGUUGGAAGUGCCGUGUGCACAAACAGGGAAGGCUGUGGGAGAAGCUGAUUUCCUAGCCGGGGAGAGAGGAUGCCUGGAAUGAGAGACCUCGCUCGUUUGGGACUUAACGUCUGAGAUGCCAACUCGACAUUCAAGUGGAAAAGCCCUAUCAGAGGUGGACAGGCCAGUCUGGAGUUCAGGGGUGAAGCCCAGGAGUCCGGUGACGACGGCACGAGACGGUGAGGACGUUGAUAGGAGAAAAGUAAGUGAGGAGCCCAAGGUCUUACAGUCUUAGGCCAACAUUCAGAACUAAGCAACUUCCUCGGGACCAUACCAGGGAUCGAGAGGCCUGAAGGCCAAGUCCACCUGCCAAUUAAUUCUGCAUGACCCGCAAGCUAAGAACAGUCUUUACAGAUGCACAUCCACCGUCUAUUUGAUGACGAGGAGCAUUUGAACCCCAAUCCAACAAAACAUUAUCUUCCCAAAGAGUUCCAUUCUUUUCAUUGAAGAUCUGUAUUAGAACAAAUUAUAAUCAAUUAUUACUAUAUUUUGUAUUUCAUCCAUUAAAAAUUUAUGAAAAUCAA
This is a long non-coding RNA of Hyaena hyaena (striped hyena), 701 nucleotides long. RefSeq lists it as uncharacterized. Lineage: Eukaryota; Metazoa; Chordata; Mammalia; Carnivora; Hyaenidae. The transcript has 2 exons. The record is from RefSeq and is a predicted model, not a curated record.